UGCUCAGUGGUUAGAGCAAGAGACUCUUAAUCUCAAGGUUUUGGGUUCAAGCUCUUUGGGCAAAA
Podarcis lilfordi (Lilford's wall lizard) is the source of this 65-nucleotide non-coding RNA. The record is from the annotation of a GenBank genome assembly. NCBI's taxonomy places the organism in Eukaryota, Metazoa, Chordata, Lepidosauria, Squamata, Lacertidae.